Molecule: ribosomal RNA, 264 nt
Filed under: uncultured bacterium
Lineage: Bacteria
Description: partial 16S ribosomal RNA
Rfam family: Bacterial small subunit ribosomal RNA
Source: RNAcentral
GUCCACGCCCUAAACGAUGCGAACUGGACGUUGGGAGCAAUUAGGCUCUCAGUGUCGAAGCUAACGCGUUAAGUUCGCCGCCUGGGGAGUACGGUCGCAAGACUGAAACUCAAAGGAAUUGACGGGGGCCCGCACAAGCGGUGGAGUAUGUGGUUUAAUUCGAUGCAACGCGCAGAACCUUACCUGGCCUUGACAUCCACGGAAUCCUUGAGAGAUCAGGGAGUGCCUUCGGGAACCGUGAGACAGGUGCUGCAUGGCUGUCGU